This 102-nucleotide microRNA precursor is filed under the name Procavia capensis (Cape rock hyrax). RNAcentral's name for it is "miRNA (ENSPCAG00000019325.1)". Lineage: Eukaryota; Metazoa; Chordata; Mammalia; Hyracoidea; Procaviidae. The record is from RNAcentral.
GCUGAGGAGAGGGAGGAGGAGAACAUGAGGAACCAGGGGUCAUCAGUCAGCAGAGUGCAGCCUGGACAGGGGCCAUGGCUCACUGAGUGAUGUCAAGCCCAA